Molecule: long non-coding RNA, 2582 nt
Organism: Megalobrama amblycephala (Wuchang bream)
Lineage: Eukaryota; Metazoa; Chordata; Actinopteri; Cypriniformes; Xenocyprididae
Exons: 3
Source: RefSeq, a predicted model, not a curated record
GGAAAAGACAAAAACAAAAUAAUAUCAAUGAAUGACUGUACUGUUGUUUCUCAUUCAAUGAUGUAUUUCAUGACGUUCAUUCUUUCUCUUCGUUUUUUCUUCUUUCUAUUUUUCCUGAUUUUUCCAUAUUUUUUUGCUUCAAAUGAAAGAUUCAUCACAGAGCUGGUUGGUUUGUUCAAGGCUUACACGAAUCUCCCUGUGGAGAAAAUGGUUUCAGAAGCCAGACCGCUGAAGAAGUAGCUUAAAGGCCUCAGUCUCCAUUCACUUCCAUUGUUUGGAGAAGAACACUUUAUUAUUCAAAGCAUCUUCCACAGAAGAAAGCAAGUCAUACAUGUUUGGAACGACAUGAGGGUAAACAUCCAAAGUGAACAUACUGAAUGAAGGUAAAUUUUACGCUGAAGUAAGAGAAGUCGCACAGAUUUGUAAGUUUGUAUGCGUUUUUAUUUCAAUCAUUUGCUUCACUUACAGCAGUGAGGAUCAGACUAAAUUCACAUUUAUUCUUUUAUCAGAUGCUUUUGUCCACCAAAGUGAGAAGAAUAAUACAAACCGAAACAAUUAAUCUAAGGAAGUAGAAGACUGAAGUAAUAUGCAGCCAACUUACAAAUACUUUACUUUUAUUUACUCUCCAAAGCCAAUUCUUAUUUUAUUUGGCAUUGGUUGAGUGUUCAUUUUGGACCCUUCCAGUAUAUAGAGUCAGGUGCUUUACGCUGGUGGUCCCACGUCCCACAGUGCAGGUGCCUUUCAGCACAAACACACACUGCAGCUGCUCACAGGAAUACGGAGGUUCCUCUUUCCUCUGGUUCAGUCACUCACACACAUCUGUUUGCUUUGCACAUUUCUUCCACACCCUCACUUGUUUUUAUUCUCUCUUACACACCCUGUUUAUCACAAUCUCCUCCAGUGCCUCUGCAUCAAUAUAUGGGUGUGUGUGUGUGUGUGUGUGUGUGUGUUCAACCCCAGGUUUUUCCAGGGUUGUAGUAGCAGCAGUUGCAUUGUGGGAUUGCGUGCCCUUGCCAUUGGGUCUUUACUGUGGUCAGGGAAGGUUCUGAGGGAUUCUUGUGGUCCUGAUCCAGUGAAAGACUCCAGCCGGAGCAGAUGUGUGAUGGAAAAACAGCAGAACACAAACACAGCAAACUAUGACCCAGAUCAACAAACAGAGCUACAAUGACGUUUGUACGGUUUGAAAUGAUAAAACAAUAGAUCUAGUGGAGAAAAUGAAGGAAAUUAUUUGAGUCUUAGAAGUAUUAAUGGAACAUGCACUGAAAAAAAAUGGGUGUAGAAGCAAUUGCUGGUAAAUUUCACGAAUAUUUACCAGGAAAUAGAAGGUAAAACAUUGAAUUAAAUGUGACAUUUUGGAAGUAAAAGAAAAUCAUUUUUAAUGAUGAACUACAUAGCUAAAGUUUUAGUUUAAUUAACAAGUUCAGUUCUAUAUGUCAUGCUGAAUUUUACAUAAAUCACUAGCAAAUGCUAUUUAUCAUGUGAAAACAGUUUUAUUAUUUUUUUAACCCAAUGUUGCCCAAACUGUGAGGAAACUUCAGGGGGUUUGAGAGCUGAUAAAAGGCUAUUCAUUAAAUAAAUCAAUAAUAAUUACAUUAAACUGAUUUAAAAUUAGUUAAAAUAUAAUGUUUUUAAAAUAAAAAUGAUCAAAGUAAAACAUUUAAAAAAGAUUAAAUAUUUUAAUUGUUUACCUGCUUGUCAUGUGACCAUGAACCGAUAUCAGAGAACCAUGACCAUGCAAGCGUGUUGUUAAAUUAUUGAAAUAUUAAUUUAAAAUCUCAGGUGGACCUCAAGGGGUUUGGAUAACAAAAAAGUUUGCGAAUUGAUGUUUCAACCAGUCAUGGCACCAGUCACCAGUCUGUUCUUCACACAAAUCUCUCACAUUAUUUCUGAAGACUUUGAAUAUAGCACACAAAUCAUAUGGACCACUGUUGCUAUUAUUAUACUUCUGUGGUGCUUAUGUCCAUUUUGGAGCUCAACACCAUCUGUAUUCAUUUUCAUUGUAUGGAAAAUUGUGCUGAACAUCUGUUGUUUUCACAGGAGAAGGAAAAUCAUACAGUUUAAUACACUGAACAAAGGACGUCUCUUCACCAUGAUGCUCGUGCUCUGGGAAAGCUAGAGACCAGAACACUGUGAAACUGUGAAACUCACACAUCUGACAAUAUGAGGCUUCAACCGAUGUGCCCUCUUAAUAGAGACGCCGUCUCACCCUCCUAACCUUCAGACAGCUGCGUAACAUGGCAUGAAAUCUCCUUCAUGGGAGAACUCCACAUGGACCCUCCAUCCAGACAACAUCUAAUUAUCCCAGCCGGAUCUGAGCGAGUUACGGCGGCCCGGCCGCUCCCGCUGAAGGCUCGUGUCGAACAGGUCAGAAUCCACUGCAGUUUCCCCGAGGGAAGAAUAAGACAACAGCUCUCGUUAUUCGAGCGGCUGUAAAUUGUGCUGUUGAACCUCCUGAUGUGAAGCUACUGCCUCCGUUAAAUCACAUCAGAACUGUAGCUGACUUCAGUGAAGACCAUCACUGCACCAAAACAAGGGUUUCUUUGCAAGAUAGAAAUGGGUUAAAAAGAAAAUCUUAAAGUCGC